AAGAUCGGACCACAAAGCUCAGAAUUUACCAUUGUAACUCCCAACAGAGCUAUUGUCAUAGAUCAACGUCAACUGCGAUUCAGACACACUUUUCCUGUCCUGGAACUUCCAAACUUAGCAGCCCUCUUUACUUAAAAUUCAAAACCUCUUUCCAAACUCGAUACUUCCCAUCCCAAGCAUUCUGUGCCUCGGGAUGGAUUUUCUCUUGAAUUUGUAACACACUGAUGGUCUGUUUGUUGACCUCCUAAAUGAUGCAACUAACGGUAGACAACUUUGGGAAUCACCCGGCGUGGAAAAUGUGCCCUUUCAACCCUCCUCGUUUCUGAGUGGGGAACGGACGGCAAAACCAACUAAGGCAGCACCUCGCGGAAGCACAAUAGCCUAACAGUGGGAGUUACUUUCAAACAAAUUCUAGAUGUCGAGUAGAGAAGCUGGCCUUCUCGAUCCCUCCUUUGAGACAGCAUUGGCUACUGUGCACUUUGUACCUAAAAUGAGAAACAGUGGGAGUCCCCAUAGUGGCUCAGCGGAACUGAAUCUGACUAGCAUCCAUGAGGACGCAAGUUUGAUCCCUGGCCUCCAUCAGUGGGUCAAGGAUCUGGCAUUGCCAUGAGCUGCAUCGCAGAGGCAGCUUGGAUCUGGCAUGGCUGUGGCUCUAGCGAAGGUCAGUGCCUACAGCUCCGAUUCGACCCCUAGCCUGGAACCUCUGUAUGCUGAGGGUGUGGCCCUAAAAGGAAAAAAAAAAAAAAAAAAGAGAGAGAGAGAGAGAGAGAAACGGUUCCAGAACUCAUCCAGACUCAGGCUCAUGAGCAUCAGAGGCGCUUAUGUGGACACGCGUUCAGUGAAGCAAAGAUACCAUUUAAGGGAGGAGCCCGAAUUCCGUGGGGACUUUGACCAGGUCCUGGGCCUGAAGGUUUCACGUGGCUGCCAUCACAGAGCCCUCGGCUUUCCUGGGUCCACUCCAACACAGAAAAGGCUUUGUUGUCGGAGUUAACCUCCCAGCCUGAACGCCUGGAGCUGGAAGAGCCAUUUCCUUGUGGCAAUGCUGUUGCCAUAGUUACGAGGCCCUCCUCGGGUGCUUUCCAGAUUAC
This 1088-nucleotide long non-coding RNA is filed under the name Sus scrofa (pig). Its description in RNAcentral is "lncRNA (ENSSSCG00070006190.1)". Lineage: Eukaryota; Metazoa; Chordata; Mammalia; Artiodactyla; Suidae. The record is from RNAcentral.